GAUGAACGCUGGCGGCGUGCCUAAUACAUGCAAGUCGAGCGAACAGACGAGGAGCUUGCUCCUCUGACGUUAGCGGCGGACGGGUGAGUAACAUGUGGAUAACCUACCUAUAAGACUGGGAUAACUUCGGGAAACCGGAGCUAAUACCGGAUAAUAUAUUGAACCGCAUGGUUCAAUAGUGAAAGACGGUUUUGCUGUCACUUAUAGAUGGAUCCGCGCCGCAUUAGCUAGUUGGUAAGGUAACGGCUUACCAAGGCAACGAUGCGUAGCCGACCUGAGAGGGUGAUCGGCCACACUGGAACUGAGACACGGUCCAGACUCCUACGGGAGGCAGCAGUAGGGAAUCUUCCGCAAUGGGCGAAAGCCUGACGGAGCAACGCCGCGUGAGUGAUGAAGGUCUUCGGAUCGUAAAACUCUGUUAUUAGGGAAGAACAAAUGUGUAAGUAACUAUGCACGUCUUGACGGAACCUAAUCAGAAAGCCACGGCUAACUACGUG
RNAcentral lists this ribosomal RNA (497 nucleotides) under uncultured bacterium. RNAcentral's name for it is "partial 16S ribosomal RNA". It matches the Rfam family "Bacterial small subunit ribosomal RNA", at positions 28 to 507 of the family's 1533-position model. The record is from RNAcentral.